This 202-nucleotide long non-coding RNA is filed under the name Setaria italica (foxtail millet). Its description in RNAcentral is "long non-coding RNA (SITA_LNC001307)". Lineage: Eukaryota; Viridiplantae; Streptophyta; Magnoliopsida; Poales; Poaceae. The record is from RNAcentral.
GCAGACAAAUCGAUUCGAGUUUCUUAACCAUGCAUGGCGAACCUAAUCUCACGACAUCCGCGCACCACAAGGGUCGCUUCCUGUGUCGGCCGUCCCCAUCAAUUCCAAGGCGCGUGUCAGGUCCAAACUUCCCUUGGCAUACAAUGCUCCAUAGUCCCGGUCUCUACCGUACUGUGACCGCACUUGCACCCACAUGAUGCAC